GACAGAAACCAGAAAGAAAGAAAAAAAGAGAGAGAGAAGGAAGGAAGAGAGAGAGAAAGAGAGAGAAAGAAAGAAGGAAAGAAAGAAAGGGAGAUCCGUCCAAACCGUCGACAUUUUGGAGAAACCUCAAGGACGACGUACCGAGUUAUUGCUCGACAAAGGAACUCGUAUGCGUGAUCGCCUAUAUAGUACUUUUGCAGGCGAAAUUAGUUGAGGUCGGGCGUACAUUGGAGUUGAGGCAUAGUCAACAACAUGGCUUCCGCAUUUUUAUUUGAUAUAGGUGUUCCUUGAUUACCUUUCCUUGCUGUUAGAAUUGCUCUGAUUACCUGAGGAAAUUAAUGUUAUUUAAGUUCUGAUUUGUGUUAUGUGAUUUAUGGUUGAUGUUGUAA
Molecule: long non-coding RNA, 389 nt
Organism: Rosa chinensis
Lineage: Eukaryota; Viridiplantae; Streptophyta; Magnoliopsida; Rosales; Rosaceae
Exons: 3
Source: RefSeq, a predicted model, not a curated record